This 688-nucleotide ribosomal RNA is filed under the name uncultured Bacteroidota bacterium. RNAcentral describes it as "bacterial SSU rRNA". It matches the Rfam family "Bacterial small subunit ribosomal RNA", at positions 34 to 715 of the family's 1533-position model. The record is from RNAcentral. Lineage: Bacteria; Pseudomonadati; Bacteroidota.
CGCUAGCUACAGGCUUAACACAUGCAAGUCGAGGGGCAGCGCAGUGUAGCAAUACAUGGGCGGCGACCGGCGCACGGGUGCGUAACGCGUAUCCAACCUUCCCGUUACUCAGGGAUAGCCUUCCGAAAGGGAGAUUAAUACCUGAUGGUGUUCAAAUUUCGCAUGUUAUUUGAACUAAAGAUUUAUCGGUAACGGAUGGGGAUGCGUGACAUUAGGUAGAUGGCGGGGUAACGGCCCACCAUGCCUACGAUGUCUAGGGGUUCUGAGAGGAAGGUCCCCCACACUGGAACUGAGACACGGUCCAGACUCCUACGGGAGGCAGCAGUGAGGAAUAUUGGUCAAUGGUCGGAAGACUGAACCAGCCAAGUAGCGUGAAGGAUGAAGGUUCUAUGGAUUGUAAACUUCUUUUAUACGGGAAUAAAACCACCUACGUGUAGGUGCUUGUAUGUACCGUAUGAAUAAGCAUCGGCUAACUCCGUGCCAGCAGCCGCGGUAAUACGGAGGAUGCGAGCGUUAUCCGGAUUUAUUGGGUUUAAAGGGAGCGUAGACGGGAGAUUAAGUCAGUUGUGAAAGGCUGCGGCUCAACCGCAGCACUGCAGUUGAUACUGGUUUCCUUGAGUGCGGUUGAGGUGUAUGGAAUUCGUGGUGUAGCGGUGAAAUGCUUAGAUAUCACGAAGAACUCCGAUUG